This 254-nucleotide ribosomal RNA is filed under the name uncultured bacterium. RNAcentral's name for it is "partial 16S ribosomal RNA". It matches the Rfam family "Bacterial small subunit ribosomal RNA", at positions 524 to 776 of the family's 1533-position model. The record is from RNAcentral.
GACGUAGGGCGCGAGCGUUGUCCGGAUUUAUUGGGCGUAAAGAGCUCGUAGGCGGCUUGUCGCGUCGAAUGUGAAAACUCGGGGCUCAACUCCGAGCUUGCAUUCGAUACGGGCAGGCUAGAGUUCGGGUAGGGGAGACUGGAAUUCCUGGUGUAGCGGUGAAAUGCGCAGAUAUCAGGAGGAACACCGGUGGCGAAGGCGGGUCUCUGGGCCGAUACUGACGCUGAGGAGCGAAAGCGUGGGGAGCGAACAGG